GACGAACGCUGGCGGCGUGCUUAACACAUGCAGGUCGAACGGAAAGGCUCCAGCUUGCUGGAGUACUCGAGUGGCGAACGGGUGAGUAACACGUGGGUAAUCUGCCCUGCACUCUGGGAUAAGCCUGGGAAACUGGGUCUAAUACUGGAUAUGACCUUUCUCCUUAUGGGGGUGGGUGGAAAGUUUUUCGGUGUAGGAUGAGCCCGCCGCCUAUCAGCUUGUUGGUGGGGUGAUGGCCUACCAAGGCGACGACGGGUAGCCGGCCUGAGAGGGUGAUCGGCCACAUUGGGACUGAGAUACGGCCCAGACUCCUACGGGAGGCAGCAGUGGGGAAUAUUGCACAAUGGGCGGAAGCCUGAUGCAGCGACGCCGCGUGAGGGAUGACGGCCUUCGGGUUGUAAACCUCUUUCAGCAGGGACGAAGCGUAAGUGACGGUACCUGCAGAAGAAGCACCGGCUAACUACGUG
RNAcentral lists this ribosomal RNA (467 nucleotides) under uncultured bacterium. RNAcentral describes it as "partial 16S ribosomal RNA". It matches the Rfam family "Bacterial small subunit ribosomal RNA", at positions 28 to 507 of the family's 1533-position model. The record is from RNAcentral.